UAUGUUAUAGGGGCCGCGGUUGUAAAUAGUACUUUUGUAGGAAAGGUGCAAUCGCCGAAAUACACUAUUUAAUUUGUGUAUUGGGACUAUGCUGAAUAAGUAUAGUACUGUCAACAGAAUUUUUGCCCAAUUUUCUGCUGGAGCACUUAUCAUAUU
RNAcentral lists this non-coding RNA (156 nucleotides) under Gottschalkia acidurici. RNAcentral's name for it is "Clostridium acidurici Lysine sequence". It matches the Rfam family "Lysine riboswitch aptamer". Rfam says of the family: Riboswitches are metabolite binding domains within certain messenger RNAs that serve as precision sensors for their corresponding targets. Allosteric rearrangement of mRNA structure is mediated by ligand binding, and this results in modulation of gene expression. Lineage: Bacteria; Bacillati; Bacillota; Tissierellia; Tissierellales; Gottschalkiaceae. The record is from RNAcentral.